GAUGAACGCUGGCGGCGUGCCUAAUACAUGCAAGUCGAGCGAACGGACGAGAAGCUUGCUUCUCUGAUGUUAGCGGCGGACGGGUGAGUAACACGUGGAUAACCUACCUAUAAGACUGGGAUAACUUCGGGAAACCGGAGCUAAUACCGGAUAAUAUUUUGAACCGCAUGGUUCAAAAGUGAAAGACGGUCUUGCUGUCACUUAUAGAUGGAUCCGCGCUGCAUUAGCUAGUUGGUAAGGUAACGGCUUACCAAGGCAACGAUGCAUAGCCGACCUGAGAGGGUGAUCGGCGACACUGGAACUGAGACACGGUCCAGACUCCUACGGGAGGCAGCAGUAGGGAAUCUUCCGCAAUGGGCGAAAGCCUGACGGAGCAACGCCGCGUGAGUGAUGAAGGUCUUCGGAUCGUAAAACUCUGUUAUUAGGGAAGAACAUAUGUGUAAGUAACUGUGCACAUCUUGACGGUACCUAAUCAGAAAGCCACGGCUAACUACGUG
This 497-nucleotide ribosomal RNA is filed under the name uncultured bacterium. Its description in RNAcentral is "partial 16S ribosomal RNA". It matches the Rfam family "Bacterial small subunit ribosomal RNA", at positions 28 to 507 of the family's 1533-position model. The record is from RNAcentral.